UGCAGUCGACGAUGAUCUCCAGCUUGCUGGGGGGAUUAGUGGCGAACGGGUGAGUAACACGUGAGUAACCUGCCCUUGACUCUGGGAUAAGCCUGGGAAACUGGGUCUAAUACUGGAUACGACCUUCCCACGCAUGUGGUGUUGGUGGAAAGCUUUUGUGGUUUUGGAUGGACUCGCGGCCUAUCAGCUUGUUGGUGGGGUAAUGGCCUACCAAGGCGACGACGGGUAGCCGGCCUGAGAGGGUGGACGGCCACACUGGGACUGAGACACGGCCCAGACUCCUACGGGAGGCAGCAGUGGGGAAUAUUGCACAAUGGGCGCAAGCCUGAUGCAGCGACGCCGCGUGAGGGAUGAAGGCCUUCGGGUUGUAAACCUCUUUCAGUAGGGAAGAAGCGAAAGUGACGGUACCUGCAGAAGAAGCGCCGGCUAACUACGUGCCAGCAGCCGCGGUAAUACGUAGGGCGCAAGCGUUAUCCGGAAUUAUUGGGCGUAAAGAGCUCGUAGGCGGUUUGUCGCGUCUGCCGUGAAAGUCCGGGGCUUAACUCCGGAUCUGCGGUGGGUACGGGCAGACUUGAGUGAUGUAGGGGAGACUGGAAUUCCUGGUGUAGCGGUGAAAUGCGCAGAUAUCAGGAGGAACACCGAUGGCGAAGGCAGGUCUCUGGGCAUUAACUGACGCUGAGGAGCGAAAGCAUGGGGAGCGAACAGGAUUAGAUACCCUGGUAGUCCAUGCCGUAAACGUUGGGCACUAGGUGUG
This 754-nucleotide ribosomal RNA is filed under the name Agrococcus sp. qf6. Its description in RNAcentral is "bacterial SSU rRNA". It matches the Rfam family "Bacterial small subunit ribosomal RNA", at positions 56 to 824 of the family's 1533-position model. Lineage: Bacteria; Bacillati; Actinomycetota; Actinomycetes; Micrococcales; Microbacteriaceae. The record is from RNAcentral.